AUCCCAGGAGAGAAAAAAGAAUAUGUACUACCUCCUAAUGGCACACAAAGGAAAUAUGGACCAUCAGCACCAUCAUGGAUAUCCAUCUACUCCAGGAUCUGAAGUCUGCUUAAUACAAGACACAUUUGCAUUUUGAAACAGAGGAGAUCUAUUGGCUAUCCUGGUGUUAGGACAAGGAGAAGUUGUUGCCCCUCCAUAGAAUGUAAGCAGCUAGAUGGCAAAGACUAUUUCGAUUUUUUGUCUCUGUUUUCUCAGUGCCUGGAGCCCAGUAAGUAUUUAAUCUAUGUUUGUCUAUUUUCUUAUAUCUUCUACUAUUAUAUGAGAUUAGAAAAUGCCCAUUGAAUUAAAUUGAAUAUACCAAUGGAUCCUAAUGAGAACAUCAGCCAGCAGGAAACAAAAUGAACUAUUGAUUUAGGAAGUGACAGUUCAAUAAGAGAAGGGAAAACACACUGAUCUUUCUGGGCUUCCUGGAACAUUAGCCAAUUAUUUAUAUGCAGAGAUAUUGCUAAUGACUAGUGUGUCACUGAAAAGGCUAGAGAGGUGUUAUGUA
RNAcentral lists this long non-coding RNA (550 nucleotides) under Monodelphis domestica (gray short-tailed opossum). RNAcentral's name for it is "lncRNA (ENSMODG00000043861.1)". Lineage: Eukaryota; Metazoa; Chordata; Mammalia; Didelphimorphia; Didelphidae. The record is from RNAcentral.